Dryobates pubescens (Downy woodpecker) is the source of this 682-nucleotide long non-coding RNA. RefSeq lists it as uncharacterized. The record is from RefSeq and is a predicted model, not a curated record. Lineage: Eukaryota; Metazoa; Chordata; Aves; Piciformes; Picidae. The transcript has 3 exons.
GUUUGGCAGGGAUUGUUACGCACUCUGGGUGGGUAACAUCACCCACAGGAUCAGUGAGAAGGUACUGCAGCGUGCCUUUGGCCGUUUUGGGGAGAUUCGUUUCAUCCGGAUGCUGCCGGAGCGCCGCUGUGCCUUCGUCAACUACAAUCAGAAGAAGGCAGCAGAAGAGGCAUAUGCUGCCAUGAAGGAGGCUGAACUGGAGGGCAGCAGGCUGGUGCUGCAGCUCAAGCAUCCAUCCCAUGCCACCCCCCCUCCUUGGCAGCACCCAAAGGUGGGUGCCUCCCCAGGGAGGCCACAGUAGCCAAAGAGGGGGUUCUCCUCAGCUCACAGCAGCAGAGCUGAACCCCUCCCACAGCGGGGGGCUGCCUUCGCCCUGCCUGUGCCUUUUCCCUCUGCAGGCAGCGGGACCUUGCCACCUUCUGUGGGUCAGGCUUCCCCCAGAGCCUUUGGGGUGGCACCCAGCAGGGUCUCGACUCCCUGGAAGGGAUGGGGUGAGGCUGCACUGCCACACUAACACCUCCCCUACCCGGGAGACAUAGGGGUUGUGCCCACUAUGGGACUGGAGGCCCCAGUGGGUGCCCACCCUGCAGUUCCCAGUGGAAAGGGCAGGGCUGGGGAAGUUAUUCCCCAAUCCUUUGGGGGUUUGUACAGGUUUGGGGUUUUGUAAUAAAGAUGAGAAUGA